This 395-nucleotide ribosomal RNA is filed under the name uncultured bacterium. Its description in RNAcentral is "bacterial SSU rRNA". It matches the Rfam family "Bacterial small subunit ribosomal RNA", at positions 505 to 898 of the family's 1533-position model. The record is from RNAcentral.
GUGCCAGCAGCCGCGGUAAUACGUAGGUGGCAAGCGUUGUCCGGAUUUACUGGGCGUAAAGGAUGUGUAGGUGGAUGCUUAAGUCAGAUGUGAAAGCCCCGAGCUUAACUUGGGGACUGCAUUUGAAACUGGGCAUCUAGAGUGCAGGAGAGGAAAGUGGAAUUCCUAGUGUAGCGGUGAAAUGCGUAGAGAUUAGGAAGAACAUCAGUGGCGAAGGCGACUUUCUGGACUGUAACUGACACUGAGGCAUGAAAGCGUGGGGAGCAAACAGGAUUAGAUACCCUGGUAGUCCACGCCGUAAACGAUGAGUACUAGGUGUAGGGGGUAUCGACUCCCUCUGUGCCGCAGUUAACACAAUAAGUACUCCGCCUGGGAAGUACGGUCGCAAGAUUAAA